Molecule: unclassified non-coding RNA, 240 nt
Filed under: soil metagenome
Description: partial contains 5.8S ribosomal RNA, internal transcribed spacer 2, and large subunit ribosomal RNA
Source: RNAcentral
AACCUAGCACACCUGCGGUGUGUACCUGCGGAGGGAUCAUUACCGAGUUUACAACUCCCAAACCCAAUGUGAACCAUACCAAACUGUUGCCUCGGCGGGGUCACGCCCCGGGUGCGUCGCAGCCCCGGAACCAGGCGCCCGCCGGAGGGACCAACCAAACUCUUUACUGUAGUCCCCUCGCGGACGUUAUUUCUUACAGCUCUGAGCAAAAAUUCAAAAUGAAUCAAAACUUUUAACAAU